RNAcentral lists this ribosomal RNA (253 nucleotides) under uncultured bacterium. RNAcentral describes it as "partial 16S ribosomal RNA". It matches the Rfam family "Bacterial small subunit ribosomal RNA", at positions 524 to 776 of the family's 1533-position model. The record is from RNAcentral.
UACGGAGGGUGCAAGCGUUAUCCGGAUUUACUGGGUUUAAAGGGCGUGUAGGCGGGCCAUUAAGUCAGGGGUGAAAUCCCGGAGCUCAACUCCGGAACUGCCUUUGAUACUAUUGGUCUUGAAUGUUGUUGAGGUGGGCGGAACGGGUCAUGUAGCGGUGAAAUGCAUAGAUAUGACCCGGAACACCGAUUGCGAAGGCAGCCCGCUAAGAAGCUAUUGACGCUGAGGCACGAAAGCGUGGGGAGCAAACAGG